CAGUAGCCGCGGGAAUACGUAGGUUGCAAGCGUUGUCCGGAAUUAUUGGGCGUAAAGGGCUCGCAGGCGGUUUCUUAAGUCUGAUGUGAAAGCCCCCGGCUCAACCGGGGAGGGUCAUUGGAAACUGGGAAACUUGAGUGCAGAAGAGGAGAGUGGAAUUCCACGUGUAGCGGUGAAAUGCGUAGAGAUGUGGAGGAACACCAGUGGCGAAGGCGACUCUCUGGUCUGUAACUGACGCUGAGGAGCGAAAGCGUGGGGAGCGAACAGGAUUAGAUACCCCCGUAGUCCCUGUCUCUUAUAC
Molecule: ribosomal RNA, 301 nt
Filed under: uncultured bacterium
Lineage: Bacteria
Description: partial 16S ribosomal RNA
Rfam family: Bacterial small subunit ribosomal RNA
Source: RNAcentral